UACGUAGGGUGCGAGCGUUGCCCGGAUUUAUUGGGCGUAAAGGGCGCGUAGGCGGCUCGGCACGUCCGUUGUGAAAUCGCCCGGCUCAACUGGGCGGGGUCAGCGGAUACGGUCGAGCUUGAGCAAGCUAGGGGGCAAUGGAAUUCCCGGUGUAGUGGUGGAAUGCGUAGAUAUCGGGAGGAACACCAGUGGCGAAGGCGGCUGCCUGGCCCAAUACUGACACUCAGGUGCGACAGCGUGGGGAGCAAACAGGG
Molecule: ribosomal RNA, 254 nt
Filed under: uncultured bacterium
Lineage: Bacteria
Description: partial 16S ribosomal RNA
Rfam family: Bacterial small subunit ribosomal RNA
Source: RNAcentral